CUCACUAACACUCACUUACAUUAACACUCAAUAACACUCACUAACACUCAUUAACACUCACUAACACUAACAC
Non-coding RNA from Pangasianodon gigas (Mekong giant catfish), 73 nucleotides. The record is from the annotation of a GenBank genome assembly. NCBI's taxonomy places the organism in Eukaryota, Metazoa, Chordata, Actinopteri, Siluriformes, Pangasiidae.